CAUGCACCGGUGGGGUCCCUCAGCCUGGCUUGUGCCCUCUCGCAAUCUGGGACCCCUCAGAAUGUCAGAGAGCCAGUUUCAGCCCAAUCCCCCCAGGCCAGGCUGAGGGACCCCACUGGUGCACG
Molecule: non-coding RNA, 125 nt
Organism: Myotis lucifugus (little brown bat)
Lineage: Eukaryota; Metazoa; Chordata; Mammalia; Chiroptera; Vespertilionidae
Source: Rfam